This 253-nucleotide ribosomal RNA is filed under the name uncultured bacterium. Its description in RNAcentral is "partial 16S ribosomal RNA". It matches the Rfam family "Bacterial small subunit ribosomal RNA", at positions 524 to 776 of the family's 1533-position model. The record is from RNAcentral.
UACGUAGGUGGCAAGCGUUGUCCGGAAUUACUGGGCGUAAAGGGCUCGUAGGUGGCCAACUAAGUCAGACGUGAAAUCCCUCGGCUUAACCGGGGAACUGCGUCUGAUACUGGAUGGCUUGAGUUUGGGAGAGGGACGCGGAAUUCCAGGUGUAGCGGUGAAAUGCGUAGAUAUCUGGAGGAACACCGGUGGCGAAGGCGGCGUCCUGGACCAACACUGACACUGAUGAGCGAAAGCCAGGGGAGCAAACGGG